Molecule: long non-coding RNA, 431 nt
Filed under: Homo sapiens (human)
Lineage: Eukaryota; Metazoa; Chordata; Mammalia; Primates; Hominidae
Description: HSALNT0125511
Source: RNAcentral
AUUUGAAGUAGCUCCUCUUCACAAAAAGGGAUGACCCUGAGAUGCUGCUACCCCUUCCAGACACUAUUACAAAGUCAGAAGGCAGAGGCUGAGAAUAUACCCAAGACCUUUCAACAGAGUUCUCAUCACAGCCUCCUCAGGGACUCCAAGAACAAACUCCAGUUGGUACUGCCAAAUACAGGACAGUCAAGAGGACUUUCAAGGAAGACAAGAAGAAAACAUGCUGCUUGUUUCAACAUUAGCACCUGACAUGUAGCCAAAGCAUCAUAAAGAAAAGUAGUAGAAGACUUCAAGAAUAUGUCUACAAUGAAAAUUGGUAGACAGAGAGUACUAUAGUGAUAAUGAACAUAGAAUAUGGUGCCAGGCCUACCUGGUCAUAAUCCACUCUGCCUCUUACUUACAAUAUAACUGUGGCAUUUACCUAAACUCUG